This 469-nucleotide ribosomal RNA is filed under the name uncultured bacterium. RNAcentral describes it as "bacterial SSU rRNA". It matches the Rfam family "Bacterial small subunit ribosomal RNA", at positions 29 to 507 of the family's 1533-position model. The record is from RNAcentral.
AAUGAACGUUGGCGGCGUGGAUUAGGCAUGCAAGUCGCGCGAGAAGUUUCCUUCGGGAGACGGACAGCGGCGGAAGGGAGAGGAAUAAGUAGAAAUCUGCCCUCGGGACGGGGAUAGCGGCGGGAAACUGCCGGUAAUACCCGAUAACAUCUUUGGAUCAAAUGGUGUGAUUCCGCCUGAGGAUGAGUCUACUUCCUAUUAGCUAGUUGGUGUGGUAAUGGCUCACCAAGGCAACGAUGGGUAGCGGGUGUGAGAGCACGAUCCGCCUCACUGGGACUGAGACACUGCCCAGACACCUACGGGUGGCUGCAGUCGAGAAUCUUCGGCAAUGGGGGAAACCCUGACCGAGCGACGCCGCGUGCGGGGUGAAGGCCCUCGGGUUGUAAACCGCUGUCGUAAGGGAACAAAUCUAAGAGGGUACUCCCUUUUAGUUGAGUGAUCUUAGGAGGAAGGACGGGCUAAGUUCGUG